Molecule: ribosomal RNA, 319 nt
Filed under: Vibrio vulnificus
Lineage: Bacteria; Pseudomonadati; Pseudomonadota; Gammaproteobacteria; Vibrionales; Vibrionaceae
Description: partial 23S ribosomal RNA
Rfam family: Bacterial large subunit ribosomal RNA
Source: RNAcentral
GUUAAGUGACUAAGCGUACACGGUGGAUGCCUUGGCAGUCAGAGGCGAUGAAGGACGUAGUAACUUGCGAUAAGCGUAGAUGAGGCAGUAACAGCCACUUGAGUCUACGAUUUCCGAAUGGGGAAACCCACUGGCAUAAGCCAGUAUCAUUGAGUGAAUACAUAGCUCAAUGAAGCGAACCGGGAGAACUGAAACAUCUAAGUACCCCGAGGAAAAGAAAUCAACCGAGAUUCCGAAAGUAGCGGCGAGCGAAAUUGGAUUAGCCCUUAAGCUUUACAUGUGUUAGACGAACGGUCUGGAAAGUCCGACGAUACAGGGU